RNAcentral lists this ribosomal RNA (528 nucleotides) under Triticum aestivum (bread wheat). Its description in RNAcentral is "partial small subunit ribosomal RNA". Lineage: Eukaryota; Viridiplantae; Streptophyta; Magnoliopsida; Poales; Poaceae. The record is from RNAcentral.
AUGGCGGCCGAGGAAGGCGAGAAGAAGAUGAUCACGCUCAAGAGCUCGGACGGUGAGGAAUUUCAGGUCGAGGAGGCGGUCGCCAUGGAGUCGCAGACCAUCCGCCACAUGAUCGAGGACGACUGCGCCGACAAUGGCAUCCCGCUUCCCAACGUCGACUCCAAGAUCCUCUCCAAGGUCAUUGAGUAUUGCAAGAAGCAUGUCCAGGCCAGCCCCAAACCGGCCAACUCUGGCGCCGCCGUCGACGCCAGCUCCUCCACCUCUACUGCAGUCGCCGCCUCCGCCGAGGACCUCAAGAGCUUUGACGCUGAGUUCAUCAAGGUCGACCAGAACACCCUCUUCGACCUCAUCCUGGCUGCAAACUACCUCAACAUCAAGGGAUUGCUCGACCUUACUUGCCAGACUGUUGCAGAUAUGAUCAAGGGGAAGACUCCGGAGGAGAUCCGUAAGACUUUCAACAUCAAGAAUGACUUCACACCCGAGGAGGAGGCUGAGAUCCGCAGGGAGAACCAGUGGGCUUUUGAGUAG